RNAcentral lists this ribosomal RNA (617 nucleotides) under uncultured Legionella sp. Its description in RNAcentral is "bacterial SSU rRNA". It matches the Rfam family "Bacterial small subunit ribosomal RNA", at positions 242 to 849 of the family's 1533-position model. Lineage: Bacteria; Pseudomonadati; Pseudomonadota; Gammaproteobacteria; Legionellales; Legionellaceae. The record is from RNAcentral.
UAGCUAGUUGGUAGGGUAAAGGCCUACCAAGGCGACGAUCGGUAGCUGGUCUGAGAGGAUGAUCAGCCUCACUGGGACUGAGACACGGCCCAGACUCCUACGGGAGGCAGCAGUGGGGAAUAUUGGACAAUGGGGGCAACCCUGAUCCAGCAAUGCCGCGUGUGUGAAGAAGGCCUGAGGGUUGUAAAGCACUUUCAGUGGGGAGGAGGAUUGAUAGGUUAAGAGCUAAUUAAUUGGACGUUACCCACAGAAGAAGCACCGGCUAACUCCGUGCCAGCAGCCGCGGUAAUACGGAGGGUGCGAGCGUUAAUCGGAAUUACUGGGCGUAAAGGGUGCGUAGGUGGUUUAUUAAGUUAACUGUGAAAUUCCUGGGCUUAACCUGGGCAGGUCAGUUAAGACUGAUAGACUUUGAGUAUAGGAGAGGGUAGUGGAAUUUCCGGUGUAGCGGUGAAAUGCGUAGAGAUCGGAAGGAACAUCGGUGGCGAAGGCGGCUACCUGGCCUAAUACUGACACUGAGGCACGAAAGCGUGGGUAGCAAACAGGAUUAGAUACCCUGGUAGUCCACGCCGUAAACGAUGUCAACUAGCUGUUAGUCAUAUAAAUGUGAUUAGUGGCGC